RNAcentral lists this ribosomal RNA (489 nucleotides) under uncultured bacterium. Its description in RNAcentral is "partial 16S ribosomal RNA". It matches the Rfam family "Bacterial small subunit ribosomal RNA", at positions 28 to 507 of the family's 1533-position model. The record is from RNAcentral.
GACGAACGCUGGCGGCGUGCUUAACACAUGCAAGUCGAACGGUGAAGGGACCAGCUUGCUGGUUCUGGAUGAGUGGCGAACGGGUGAGUAACACGUGAGUAACCUGCCCCCUUCUUCUGGAUAACCGCAUGAAAGUGUGGCUAAUACGGGAUAUUCUGGGUCUGUCGCAUGGCGGGCCCGGGAAAGAUAUUGCUUCGGUGGGGGAUGGGCUCGCGGCCUAUCAGCUUGUUGGUGGGGUGAUGGCCUACCAAGGCGGUGACGGGUAGCCGGCCGGGGAGGGGGGGCGGUCAAACUGGGACUGGGACACGGCCCAGACUCCUACGGGAGGCAGCAGUGGGGAAUAUUGCACAAUGGGCGCAAGCCUGAUGCAGCGACGCCGCGUGAGGGAUGGAGGACUUCGGGUUGUAAACCUCUUUCGCCAGUGAAGCAGGCCUGCUCCUUGUGGGUGGGUUGACGGUAGCUGGAUAAGAAGCGCCGGCUAACUACGUG